GGAGGCGUAUCCGGUCUGGUGGCCGGCUCGGUCUUCAACACCGACGGGCGGCAGGACCUGCCGCCGGCGGGUUCGAUUCCCGUCCGCCUCCGCCA
Molecule: transfer RNA, 95 nt
Filed under: Lentzea waywayandensis
Lineage: Bacteria; Bacillati; Actinomycetota; Actinomycetes; Pseudonocardiales; Pseudonocardiaceae
Description: tRNA_SeC_TCA
Rfam family: Selenocysteine transfer RNA
Source: RNAcentral